Non-coding RNA from Solanum lycopersicum (tomato), 1230 nucleotides. The record is from RefSeq and is a predicted model, not a curated record. NCBI's taxonomy places the organism in Eukaryota, Viridiplantae, Streptophyta, Magnoliopsida, Solanales, Solanaceae.
AACUUACACAAAUCAAAAAUCUAUUUCCUAAAUUUUGAUGUCAAUUAACAUGUCAACUCUCAUAUUUUUUUAAGAAUUUUAAAUCUAGGAUCAAGUUCAAAUUUCUCAAAGUAUCAUCAAUUCAACAAAAUAAAAAGAAGAAUUUCAAGAAAAUUAAUAACUUUCAAAUAAUCUAUCGUUGCACCAACAAGAGGAAUCCAAUUUAAUUCAUGUUUUUGCUUUCAAACCUAUAUGCCAUAAUGGUAAUCAUUAUCCAAUAAUGACAAUUGAUAUAACCAAUCACUGACAGCAACUUGCUGCCCCAAUCUUUUGCCAUAACUUCCAUCCUAUAAUUUCCACUUAAAUCAUCCAACAAUAUAUAAUUGCUAGUAAAAAAAAAUCUAGUUCAAAAUUUCAAUUCACUUUAACCAUUAACUUAACAAUCAAUUGGUAAUGACUACAUAAUGAUUAUUCCAUAAACAAAAUAAUCAAAGCCUACCCACUGUAGUUAUAUAUAUGAUCAACACGCAUAUAAAUUCCAAUCCAAAAUUUGCUUAUUCACCUUUCUCAAUCUACAAAUGAUUAUAAUAAUAAUUAUUAUUAUUUAAUGCAUUUUGACCUCUAAGAAUAGCAUAUUCACAAAUACACAAAUUAAUGCAGGAUUCGAACUUACCUCGAUGAAAGAUUAAGCGGUUCCCAUGACGACCAUCGUUUCCCAGAAGUCAAUUCUUAUGCCGGCGGCCGGUUUGCACAGGAAAAAAAGAAAAUCGAAAAGGAUGGAUGUCGGGAGUGGGUGGAGUGUUCUGGCAAGGAAGAAACUUUUUUGGGGGGUUGAGAACAUAGUUUUUACUUUAUUUUAAUUUCUAACUUAUUUUUAAAUUGUUGUUAUGGGAUAAUUCCAUCUGUUCUUUUUUUAAUAGUUAUAGUGACAUGUUAGCCGCUAUUGUAUAACACAUAACUUCUAUUUUUAGUUGAUUGUAAAAAAUGUUCGAUGCAUUUUUUUAAAAUUAAAAAUGAUGUUCAUUUGGAACAAGCCUAAGAUAUGGUGUUCAAGUGAAAUAUGCGAAAAAACUUUAAGGGGUCGCAAAUGACUUAAUCUUAAUGAAAAUCACAUAUAAUUGAUAUUUUGACCCCAUUAGCUUGAAAAUUCAAAAAAAUAAAUAUUUAUUUCAUAAUAUAUUUUUAUUGGCAUACUAUAAGUCAACUACUCAAUUUAUUAUAACUCAACUCAUACAUAAAGAUCCAUCUAAA